Vidua chalybeata is the source of this 1958-nucleotide long non-coding RNA. RefSeq lists it as uncharacterized. The transcript is spliced from 3 exons. The record is from RefSeq and is a predicted model, not a curated record. NCBI's taxonomy places the organism in Eukaryota, Metazoa, Chordata, Aves, Passeriformes, Viduidae.
CUCCUCGCUCCUUUUCCUCUUCCUCUCCUUUUUCCUGCCUUUUCCCUGUCCCUUCCUUCCUUUUCCAUGCCGUGGAGGCAGAGCUGGCUCCUCAGAGCCGCUCCUGCCCCACACGGGCAGGAUGGAGCCGCGAUGCCCGGCCCGCUCCUGAGGGUGGCCCCGGGAGCCGCUGCAGCCGCGCUCGUGGCACCCGCGAGAGGGACGGAGGGAACGGGGGGAGUCCGGUGACUUCCAGCGGCUCUUUGCCUGCGCUGGGGCAGCGCCAGCGGUGCCGCAGAGCCGUCCCUUCCACCUCACAAGAGCUCUCGCUAAUCGAGGCAAGUUCAAAACACGGGCUGAGAUCGCGGUCACAAAAGGGCGCAGGAGGCAGCUCCCCCUAAAGCUGCUUGAUUUUGUUUACGAAAUACCCAACCAGUCUGUUGUGAGGAAAGGACCUUGAAUCAGCCACUGCAGGGAAACUCUGCUGUAUGAAAAAAAAAAAAAAUCUGGGAGGAGGCUUGGUGGAUACCAAGGUGAUUUUGCUGUCUUCCCAAGAGCAGUGUAGGUGUUCUUAAAAUUGUGUAAUACAGAAAUGCAUGAAGUAACUGGGUGUUAGUACUGGGCUUUCCUUUCUGCCUCAUCUUCCUGAAGUCGCUGUCUUAAACCACAGAAAUGUGUGAAAAUGGGACAUAAGGAAAACACGACAUGAAGCUUCACCUGGGAAAAAGAAAGGGAGCAGAGAGUGAAGAGUUACUUGACUAAUUGUGCAGUAACAUUUCUCAGAAUUUUGAUUCUUCAAAAGUGAAAUACAAACAUGUCUUGGCAGAUAAGCUGUCCUGUCCUUGGAGAACAGGGACUUUGUGAUUUGAGCCUACUUUGUUGCAAUUAUUUUAGAAAUAAAUACAAUUCCUUUUCAAAAACCCUGCAAUUUUCCAAGUUCAUUCUUGUAAUGUUUUUCCACUUCCUGUACAGGAACUAAUUCCUUCAAAUUAAUUGCUUGAAGCAAUGCUGGUGGAACUUCUAAUUAGACAAUGCUUGUGUUAUUCCAGGCCUGCAGAGUGACAGCUGCCUCCCUGGCCUGGCUGAAUUUCUUUUUUUCUGGUUCUCCAGGUUUCCAUUUUGCUGUGAAUGUCAGGGCUUGGAAGGGCUGCACUGCAAUUUCGGGCUGGUUUGUGAUAUCAGGGCAGGAGGAAGUUGUCAAUGCCUGCUGUGCUGUAGUGAUUCAUGCUUAGCUCAGUCAUUGAUGUGGAACUUAAUGAAAUAACAAGGAAACCCUGUGGGUUACACUGCUCUGGGAGGGAAUCAAAAAUCUGAAGCUGCUCAGGAAUUAAAGACUACUGUACCUACAGUGCUGGAGACAGUUUAAGGCCCUCAGAUUUGAGCUGCCCUGUUAAUCUCUGUGUCAGUGCUGAAUCUCACCAGAGUGCAGAGGAUGCUGAAGAUUGUCCUCCCCACCGUGUCACCAGUGUCACCACACUUGUUGGAGGCUGUGGGCUGUCUCCCCUCUGAGAUGGAUUUCAGACACAGGGUAUAAAGGAGGAACUAGUUACCAGCGUUGAAGAACCAUGCCUAAACCUAUCUUUUAUUUAAUGAACAAAUUCAAGUCUGUAAGGAAAAGCACUGCUGUAUGCACCAGAAAAGGGAGAACACUGUGAGAAAUGUUAAUACUGAACAGUAAUGAAGAAAAAUGCCAUGGUUUAAAAUACAGUGCUAAAUGACCCUUACAACUAUGAUAAAUUUCAAACCCAUAUCUACUCACAUUUUCAAAGGCUUCAGAAGAAUACUGUGGAUUAAAAACUGUUAAUGAUUGCUUUAUCCCUCUCUUUUGUACUUAAAAGCAGGAGCAGCUGUCACCAGCACUCACACAGAACCACUGAUAGCUAAAAGAAUUAACUGCUUAGAUGAAAUACAUUUAAAGUGUCUCUACAGCUUUUUAAAAUGCCUAUGUCUAUGUGCAUAUAUUAAAUUGAGUAAACAGU